GUCCGUCGCGGGAGCUGAGCCCACGAGGCCCUGGAGCGCGGUGGCUGGGCCCGUAGCGCCACCUGGCGGCGGAUCAGGACCCCGCGCCCUUGCGUCCCUGGAAGUGGGAGAAGGGGCAGGGGGCUCCACCCUGCACCACCACCCCAGCGCGCUCCCGAGGCCGUUCCCCAAGGAUGCGCGGGCCCCAGGGAGAGCGACGCUGCCCGCGCGGCGCUUUCCUGGCCGCCUGGAGUCCGGGAACGGCGAAUCCCGCUCGCAGCGGACCGAGGCGAGGCGCAGCGGGACGGGAUCGGUGGGAACGGAAACAGCGGUCACCCGGAAGCCCAGAACCAGCGAGUACGCGGUGCAGUGUUCGCUUCCCAAACGUUGUGGGACAAACGCCUUUCAACUGUUUCUGGACGCCCGUGGGCCGGCGUUACCCUGUUGAGCAAAGCUUAAGUCACUGGGCAGAUACUUCCCUCCAGAGCGACUUCCUUUGCAAACAGACUCGUCAACUUUCCCGUUGUGCCGUGUGGCUAGGACGUGUCCCUGACACACCACGGAUCAUUGCCACCCAGCAAAAGAGAGCUGCUGUUUUUUUAUGGUGCACUUCCUAGCUGCAUACCUCCUCAGACGCUCCCUGGAGACAUCACUGCUAAAGGUCCGCCAAGGCUGACCUUGUUGUGGGCCAUUGACCUCAGCAUCCCACCUUGGUGUCUGGACCUCCCUCUGGCUCCUGCUCUCCUAUCUUCUCCGUGUCCUUGCAAUUCUCAGAGACACGUGCCAAACAGGUGUCACAGUCACUGAAACAGAGAAGAUGUAGUUAGACUAAAACCCUUUAAAAUAAGCUAAGUAGGUUUAAACAGCCUUCUUUUUUUCUUUAUUCUUAAAAAAAAGAAAAAGAAAAAAGCAUGGGAGCUUUGUGCAGUUUCCUCUCCCCUGCAGCACAUCAGAGCACUUCCUCUUCCCGAAGAGCCCCUUGAAUGAAAGUUUGAAAACGGUACCCCGGGGUGAAGCUGGUGUGGACAUCACCCGCCAGAGCUUCAGGGAAGAAAGCGGGCUGCUCUGCCCUGAACCUCCCUCUGGCCGUGGAAUUAAAAAUGAACCACAUUCCUAAUAAAUGUAAUCCCACAAACUCUGAAUGAACAGUGCUGAGGGCAGGCGCUGGCAUGAGCGAGCACUUUGGCGAGAGCCCUGGCUGCCUUCAGGGCGGCCAAGCCGCCCCUUCCUCCCCUGGAACACUGACUAUGCGUGUGGUGCCAUGCCCUUGCAAAGCCCCACAGGUCCCUUUUGUUUGGGCAAUUUGCAUUUGUUAGACAGUGUCUGAGCGUGUGUGGAAUCCAGCUCCUAAACACAUUUUUGGAGGCAUCAUUCAAGGGCAUGACAUUGCAAUGGGCUUUUGUGCUAAGAACCGUAAGUGAAGGGCAGUGGGCUACUCCUGACCUUUGCAAACAUUACGGUCAGGAGGUCACUUCUAUUUGAGAGAAUCCUUUUUUUUUUCUUUUUUUUUCCCGCUCAGCACUUGUGCCAGAACCAACUGUAUUACAGGCUGUCGAAUUGAGACUUGGCGGCUGACAGCCCGGAUCAAAGGCAGCUCAAGCCCAGAUCUCGGACCCCAGGCCAGCGGACACUUAGUGCGUCUCAGAAGCAAAGCGUCCCUGCUGCUUUCCAGCAGCUCAUGCCGACGCUGCUGCCUCAGCAUCCCCACCGGCUGAACCAUGGGCUGCUCCACCAUCGGUUCCAGAAAGAGCCACUUGUGAGCUAUUAAAGACAGCAAUGAAGUGCCUCAGUGACAGCAGUGAUUCAGGGAAAGAUGGAGGAACCAUCCGGGAAGGCGUUCUCCUUUUUCCACUGCGCUGAGUCCGCGAGCGCGGAGCACCCAGCCAUCCAGAGGCAGGCGGGGAAGGCCCCGGUGGGAGUGGGCGUGUGGGAGGGAUGGAGGUUUCCUUCAGGGAGAAGAGCAUAAAAAGAACAUUUCAUAAGUUCACAGGCAAUAGACGUCAACCAUGUUCUCAGAUGUUUACUGAGCCAAGAAUCCUAUAUCCAAGGAACACAGAAGGAGAGCCAGUUCCCAGUUUAGUAAUAAGAACACAGCUACUUGGUAGAAGUGAAAAACCACCAAGAGGAUGCUUUAAGGAUUAAAUAUGUCAAGUAGUUCCGUUUGGGCUCAUUUCAUCCAUUUUCUGACUCUCAAGCUCCUUGUCUAUAAUAAGCAAUUCUAACUAUAAUGCAAACACACAGGCGCAAGUGCACACACGCAUCCCCAUACGUGCACACCCAUCCAGUUAGCAUAGAGAGGUUGCACACUGGUCAUUUGGGAAAUGCAAAUUAAAACCACAAGGAGACACCACUUCACCCUCACUAGGAGGGCCUGGUGUCUAACUUCCAUGGAGAGAAGGGGGUGGGAAUAAGUAACUCUAUUGGGUAGGUUGGCAUCCAUUCUGAACUAAUUCUUGUAUAUGGUUUCUAAAAGCUUGAGCAAGUCUGCACAGGAC
RNAcentral lists this long non-coding RNA (2474 nucleotides) under Macaca fascicularis (crab-eating macaque). RNAcentral's name for it is "lncRNA (ENSMFAG00000047607.1)". Lineage: Eukaryota; Metazoa; Chordata; Mammalia; Primates; Cercopithecidae. The record is from RNAcentral.